RNAcentral lists this long non-coding RNA (337 nucleotides) under Micromonas commoda. RNAcentral describes it as "long non-coding RNA (MCOM_LNC000354)". Lineage: Eukaryota; Viridiplantae; Chlorophyta; Mamiellophyceae; Mamiellales; Mamiellaceae. The record is from RNAcentral.
GCGUGCUCGCCGUCGCGCCCGAUCGCCUGCGCGAGUUCGCGCUCCAGUCUCACGACUCGGUCGGCGAGAUCCCCGGGGGCGGAGCACCCGGGCACUCGAACCAGCGCGGCGCGCCACGACUCGCGCUCCGCCAGCUGUGACGCGUUCGACGCCGACGCAGCCUCCGCCUGCGACGCCCUCGCCUCCGCGCGCGACGCCUUGGCCUCCGCGGCGUUCGCGCGCUCCUCCGCCGCGGUGUGUGCCGCCGCCCUCGCCUCCAGACCCUUGGCGCGUUUGACCAAUUCGGCGUCCCUUUUGGCGGCGUCUCGCAUGGCGGCGAGGGAAAGCUCCAGCUCGC